AUUAGAUACCCUAUUAUUCUUUAUUUUAAAAAUUUUAAUACUUAAGUAGUAAGAACUUAAAUGUAAUUUAUUUAAAUUUAUAUGAUGUUUGAAACUUAAAAGGCUUGGCGGUGUUAUAUAUCCUUCCAGGGGAGCUUGCUUAUUAAUUUGAUAAUCCUCAAUUUAUACUUACUUUUUUUUGAAUUGUUAACAAUUUGUGUAUUGCUGUCGUCAGUUUAUUUUGUAAAAAUUUUGGAAAAAACUUAAUAACUUAUCGGUUAUGAUGUCAAGUCAAAAUGCAGUUUAUGAAAAAGGUUCAAAAGUGAGCUACGAUUUAUAAUAUUUAAUCGGAUUAGACCAUGUAAUUUGUCUAUGAAGUUGGACUUGGUAGUAACAAGAGUUAAAUAGUGAGUUCUUGUGAAUUAGGUUUUAUGAUGCGUACACAUCGCCCG
RNAcentral lists this ribosomal RNA (431 nucleotides) under Thysanoteuthis rhombus. RNAcentral describes it as "partial small subunit ribosomal RNA". The record is from RNAcentral. Lineage: Eukaryota; Metazoa; Mollusca; Cephalopoda; Oegopsida; Thysanoteuthidae.